RNAcentral lists this ribosomal RNA (362 nucleotides) under uncultured bacterium. Its description in RNAcentral is "partial 16S ribosomal RNA". It matches the Rfam family "Bacterial small subunit ribosomal RNA", at positions 338 to 697 of the family's 1533-position model. The record is from RNAcentral.
CCUACGGGUGGCUGCAGUGAGGAAUAUUGGUCAAUGGACGCAAGUCUGAACCAGCCAUGCCGCGUGAAGGAAGACGGCUCUAUGAGUUGUAAACUGCUUUUGUACGAGGGUAAACGCCGAUACGCGUAUCUGUCUGAAUGUACCUUACGAAUAAGGAUCGGCUAACUCCGUUCCAGCAGCCGCGGUAAUACGGAGGAUUCAAGCGUUAUCCGGAUUUAUUGGGUUUAAAGGGUGCGUAGGCGGUCGGUUAAGUUAGAGGUGAAAUCCCGGGGCUCAACUUCGGAAUUGCCUUUGAUCCUGUCCGGCUAGAGAGUAGUUGAGGUAGGCGGAAUGUAUGGUGUAGCGGUGAAAUGCUUAGAGAU